This 58-nucleotide transfer RNA is filed under the name Sarcophilus harrisii (Tasmanian devil). It matches the Rfam family "tRNA", at positions 8 to 63 of the family's 71-position model. Rfam says of the family: Transfer RNA (tRNA) molecules are approximately 80 nucleotides in length. Their secondary structure includes four short double-helical elements and three loops (D, anti-codon, and T loops). Further hydrogen bonds mediate the characteristic L-shaped molecular structure. tRNAs have two regions of fundamental functional importance: the anti-codon, which is responsible for specific mRNA codon recognition, and the 3' end, to which the tRNAs corresponding amino acid is attached (by aminoacyl-tRNA synthetases). tRNAs cope with the degeneracy of the genetic code in two manners: having more than one tRNA (with a specific anti-codon) for a particular amino acid; and 'wobble' base-pairing, i.e. permitting non-standard base-pairing at the 3rd anti-codon position. Lineage: Eukaryota; Metazoa; Chordata; Mammalia; Dasyuromorphia; Dasyuridae. The record is from Rfam by way of RNAcentral.
UAGCUCAGUCAGUAGAGCAUGGGACUCUUAAUCCCAGGGUCGUGGGUUCGUGCCCCAU